Dreissena polymorpha is the source of this 461-nucleotide long non-coding RNA. RefSeq lists it as uncharacterized. The transcript has 4 exons. The record is from RefSeq and is a predicted model, not a curated record. NCBI's taxonomy places the organism in Eukaryota, Metazoa, Mollusca, Bivalvia, Myida, Dreissenidae.
CUGCAAUUGAGGUGUCCCGGGUUCGACUCCCGGACUGGCUGCACACUUUUCAUCAACCGGCGACACACGGAUUAUAUUUGCCUCCGGUGUUUGUUAACCUCCCUGCGGUUACUUUACCGUCAAUAGCCGAGUCAGUGACGUCUAAAACAUUGCUAUAUACUCUCACAGUAUCGGACCUAGGCGUUUCACCAUGUUACUUGAGCGAUACUGCGCUUGCCGCGGGAAUUCUACCCUUAGAGCAAAGUACUGUGACACCACCAAAUACGCAGUACCUGGUGUACGCCCACAAUCCAGGCGGAUUCGAUUUCGAAGGAAGUUACAGAGCCGUGAACGUCGAGAUCACGUGCGGCGACUCCGUGUCCACCGUCAAAGAGACGCUGAUUUUGAACAUAAUCAAUACGGUACGUCAAGGGCCUCUUAUCCAUCGCUCCAGACACAAAGGAAUGUAAAUGUUAAAUGUU